UACAGAGGGUGCGAGCGUUGUCCGGAAUCACUGGGCGUAAAGGGCGCGUAGGUGGCCUGGUAAGUAGGGGGUGAAAUCUCGCGGCUCAACUGCGAGGCUGCCUCCUAAACUGUCAGGCUCGAGCAGAGUAGAGGCAGGUGGAAUUCCCGGUGUAGCGGUGAAAUGCGUAGAUAUCUGGAGGAACACCGGUGGCGAAGGCGGCGUUCUGGACUGCAACUGACACUGAGGAACGAAAGCCAGGGGAGCAAACGGG
This 253-nucleotide ribosomal RNA is filed under the name uncultured bacterium. RNAcentral describes it as "partial 16S ribosomal RNA". It matches the Rfam family "Bacterial small subunit ribosomal RNA", at positions 524 to 776 of the family's 1533-position model. The record is from RNAcentral.